This 492-nucleotide ribosomal RNA is filed under the name uncultured bacterium. RNAcentral describes it as "partial 16S ribosomal RNA". It matches the Rfam family "Bacterial small subunit ribosomal RNA", at positions 29 to 507 of the family's 1533-position model. The record is from RNAcentral.
AGUGAACGCUGGCGGUAGGCCUAACACAUGCAAGUCGAACGGCAGCACAGUAAGAGCUUGCUCUUACGGGUGGCGAGUGGCGGACGGGUGAGGUAUACAUCGGAAUCUACUUUUUCGUGGGGGAUAACGUAGGGAAACUUACGCUAAUACCGCAUACGACCUACGGGUGAAAGCAGGGGAUCUUCGGACCUUGCGCGAUUGAAUGAGCCGAUGUCGUAUUAGCUAGUUGGCGGGGUAAAGGCCCACCAAGGCGACGAUCCGUAGCUGGUCUGAGAGGAUGAUCAGCCACACUGGAACUGAGACACGGUCCAGACUCCUACGGGAGGCAGCAGUGGGGAAUAUUGGACAAUGGGCGCAAGCCUGAUCCAGCCAUACCGCGUGGGUGAAGAAGGCCUUCGGGUUGUAAAGCCCUUUUGUUGGGAAAGAAAAGCAGCAGGUUAAUACCCCGCUGUUCUGACGGUACCCAAAGAAUAAGCACCGGCUAACUUCGUG